Molecule: ribosomal RNA, 319 nt
Filed under: uncultured bacterium
Lineage: Bacteria
Description: bacterial SSU rRNA
Rfam family: Bacterial small subunit ribosomal RNA
Source: RNAcentral
AUUGAACGCUGGCGGCAUGCCUUACACAUGCAAGUCGAACGGCAGCACGGGAGCAAUCCUGGUGGCGAGUGGCGAACGGGUGAGUAAUAUAUCGGAACGUGCCCAGUCGUGGGGAUAACGUAGCGAAAGCUACGCUAAUACCGCAUACGAUCUAUGGAUGAAAGCGGGGGAUCGCAAGACCUCGCGCGAUUGGAGCGGCCGAUAUCAGAUUAGGUAGUUGGUGAGGUAAAGGCUCACCAAGCCGACGAUCCUUAGCUGGUCUGAGAGGAUGAUCAGCCACACUGGGACUGAGACACGGCCCAGACUCCUACGGGAGGCC